This 77-nucleotide transfer RNA is filed under the name Occallatibacter sp. RNAcentral's name for it is "tRNA-Arg". It matches the Rfam family "tRNA". Rfam says of the family: Transfer RNA (tRNA) molecules are approximately 80 nucleotides in length. The record is from RNAcentral. Lineage: Bacteria; Pseudomonadati; Acidobacteriota; Terriglobia; Terriglobales; Acidobacteriaceae.
GCGCGUGAAGCUCAAAUGGAUUGAGCGUCGGCGUCCGAAGCCGAAGGCUGUGGGUUCGAGCCCCAUCGCGCGCUCCA